Molecule: ribosomal RNA, 253 nt
Filed under: uncultured bacterium
Lineage: Bacteria
Description: partial 16S ribosomal RNA
Rfam family: Bacterial small subunit ribosomal RNA
Source: RNAcentral
UACGGAGGGAGCUAGCGUUAUUCGGAAUUACUGGGCGUAAAGCGCACGUAGGCGGCUUUGUAAGUUAGAGGUGAAAGCCUGGAGCUCAACUCCAGAAUUGCCUUUAAGACUGCAUCGCUUGAAUCCAGGAGAGGUGAGUGGAAUUCCGAGUGUAGAGGUGAAAUUCGUAGAUAUUCGGAAGAACACCAGUGGCGAAGGCGGCUCACUGGACUGGUAUUGACGCUGAGGCGCGAAAGCUAGGGGAGCAAACAGG